This 103-nucleotide microRNA precursor is filed under the name Marmota monax (woodchuck). Lineage: Eukaryota; Metazoa; Chordata; Mammalia; Rodentia; Sciuridae. The record is from RNAcentral.
AUUGGAAUAGCUGGGUCAAAUGGUGGUUCCAUUUCAAGCUUUUUAAGGAAUCUCCAUACUGCUUUCCAGAGUGGUUGCACCAAUUUGCAGUGCCAUCAGCAAU